This 85-nucleotide transfer RNA is filed under the name Felis catus (domestic cat). It matches the Rfam family "tRNA". Rfam says of the family: Transfer RNA (tRNA) molecules are approximately 80 nucleotides in length. Their secondary structure includes four short double-helical elements and three loops (D, anti-codon, and T loops). The record is from Rfam by way of RNAcentral. Lineage: Eukaryota; Metazoa; Chordata; Mammalia; Carnivora; Felidae.
GCCUGGGUGGCUCAGUCGGUUGAGCGUCUGACUUCAGCUCAGGUCAUGAUCUCACAGCUCGUGAGUUCGAGCCCCAUGUCGGGCU